GGCCCCGUAGCUCAGUUGGAUUAGAGCAUGGUCCUUCUAAGACCAGGGUCCCAGGUUCGAGCCCUGGCGGGGUCA
This 75-nucleotide transfer RNA is filed under the name Pseudobdellovibrio exovorus JSS. RNAcentral's name for it is "Bdellovibrio exovorus JSS tRNA". It matches the Rfam family "tRNA". Rfam says of the family: Transfer RNA (tRNA) molecules are approximately 80 nucleotides in length. Their secondary structure includes four short double-helical elements and three loops (D, anti-codon, and T loops). Lineage: Bacteria; Pseudomonadati; Bdellovibrionota; Bdellovibrionia; Bdellovibrionales; Pseudobdellovibrionaceae. The record is from Rfam by way of RNAcentral.